This 71-nucleotide transfer RNA is filed under the name Streptococcus pneumoniae. RNAcentral's name for it is "tRNA-His". It matches the Rfam family "tRNA". From Rfam's summary of the family: Transfer RNA (tRNA) molecules are approximately 80 nucleotides in length. Their secondary structure includes four short double-helical elements and three loops (D, anti-codon, and T loops). The record is from RNAcentral. Lineage: Bacteria; Bacillati; Bacillota; Bacilli; Lactobacillales; Streptococcaceae.
GCGGGUGUGGUGAAGUGGUUAACACACCAGAUUGUGGCUCUGGCAUGCGNGUUCAAUUCCUACUGCCCGUG